RNAcentral lists this ribosomal RNA (410 nucleotides) under uncultured Lachnospiraceae bacterium. RNAcentral's name for it is "partial 16S ribosomal RNA". It matches the Rfam family "Bacterial small subunit ribosomal RNA", at positions 341 to 768 of the family's 1533-position model. Lineage: Bacteria; Bacillati; Bacillota; Clostridia; Lachnospirales; Lachnospiraceae. The record is from RNAcentral.
ACGGAAGGCAGCAGUGGGGAAUAUUGGACAAUGGGGGGAACCCUGAUCCAGCGGCGCCGCGUGAGUGAAGAAGUAUUUCGGUAUGUAAAGCUCUUUAAGCAGGAAAGAAAAUGACGGUACCUGCAGAAUAAGCCCCGGCUAACUACGUGCCAGCAGCCGCGGUAAUACGUAGGGGGCAAGCGUUAUCCGGAUUUACUGGGUGUAAAGGGAGCGUAGACGGCAAUGCAAGUCUGAAGUGAAAGCCCGUGGCUUAACUGCGGGACUGCUUUGGAAACUGUAUGGCUAGAGUGUCGGAGAGGUGAGUGGAAUUCCCAGUGUAGCGGUGAAAUGCGUAGAUAUUGGGAGGAACACCGGAGGCGAAGGCGGCUCACUGGACGAUUACUGACGUUGAGGCUCGAAAGCGUGGGGAG